AGUUGUCAUAUGCUUGUCUAAAAAGAUUAAGCCAUGCAAGUGUAAGUAUAAAUAGACAAAUUUAUUGUACUAUGAGACUGCGAAUGGCUCAUUAAAUCAGCAAUCAUUUAUUCGGUGGAUGAAGUAAUUCUAAAAUGGAUAACCGUGGAAAUCUAGAGCUAAUACAUGCAAAAGAGAAUUCUUUGAAAAAGGAAUGCAUAUAUUAGAUACAAAUCCAAAAAUACAAAGGUGAAUCAUAAUAUUUAUAGCAAAUCAUAUAAGAAGGAGUGAUCUUUUCUUUGAUGAUAAACCGAUCAAAUUUCUGCCCUAUCAUACUUUGGACGGUAAUGUAGUGGAUUACGGUGGUGAUGACGGGGUAACGGAGAAUUAGGGUUUGAUUCCGGAGAGGGAGCAUGAGAAAUGGCUACCACUUCCAAGGAAGGCAGCAGGC
This 430-nucleotide ribosomal RNA is filed under the name uncultured eukaryote. RNAcentral describes it as "bacterial SSU rRNA". It matches the Rfam family "Eukaryotic small subunit ribosomal RNA", at positions 19 to 433 of the family's 1831-position model. The record is from RNAcentral.